ACUUUUACAUCACCUUCCUACACCUAGUUCUCGGCCGGAACCUUGUUGCCAGGGGAGACGAGUGCUUUACGGCAGCACGUUUGAACGGGGAAGAGGGAAAAGUUCCUGCCUCAGGUGCCGGAGUAGGGGUGCGCGGGGAGGGGUGCGCGCUGUGCAGCCGAGUAGAAGAUCGGCAGCCAAAGGGGCUGGAGGAUCCCCGUCUCUAAUCAAGAAAGAAAAAUCUGGAAGAAAAGUGAGCUGUCUCCACAAUGUAAAGAAUUUGUCAAAUAUCUUUUUAAUAAACUAUAUUCUCUGCUUUA
Molecule: non-coding RNA, 299 nt
Organism: Pelodiscus sinensis (Chinese soft-shelled turtle)
Lineage: Eukaryota; Metazoa; Chordata; Testudines; Trionychidae
Source: RefSeq, a predicted model, not a curated record